Molecule: ribosomal RNA, 1372 nt
Filed under: uncultured bacterium
Lineage: Bacteria
Description: bacterial SSU rRNA
Rfam family: Bacterial small subunit ribosomal RNA
Source: RNAcentral
GAUGAACGCUGGCGGCGUGCCUAAUACAUGCAAGUCGAGCGAACGGACGAGAAGCUUGCUUCUCUGAUGUUAGCGGCGGACGGGUGAGUAACACGUGGAUAACCUACCUAUAAGACUGGGAUAACUUCGGGAAACCGGAGCUAAUACCGGAUAAUAUUUUGAACCGCAUGGUUCAAAAGUGAAAGACGGUCUUGCUGUCACUUAUAGAUGGAUCCGCGCUGCAUUAGCUAGUUGGUAAGGUAACGGCUUACCAAGGCAACGAUGCAUAGCCGACCUGAGAGGGUGAUCGGCCACACUGGAACUGAGACACGGUCCAGACUCCUACGGGAGGCAGCAGUAGGGAAUCUUCCGCAAUGGGCGAAAGCCUGACGGAGCAACACCGCGUGAGUGAUGAAGGUCUUCGGAUCGUAAAACUCUGUUAUUAGGGAAGAACAUAUGUGUAAGUAACUGUGCACAUCUUGACGGUACCUAAUCAGAAAGCCACGGCUAACUACGUGCCAGCAGCCGCGGUAAUACGUAGGUGGCAAGCGUUAUCCGGAAUUAUUGGGCGUAAAGCGCGCGUAGGCGGUUUUUUAAGUCUGAUGUGAAAGCCCACGGCUCAACCGUGGAGGGUCAUUGGAAACUGGAAAACUUGAGUGCAGAAGAGGAAAGUGGAAUUCCAUGUGUAGCGGUGAAAUGCGCAGAGAUAUGGAGGAACACCAGUGGCGAAGGCGACUUUCUGGUCUGUAACUGACGCUGAUGUGCGAAAGCGUGGGGAUCAAACAGGAUUAGAUACCCUGGUAGUCCACGCCGUAAACGAUGAGUGCUAAGUGUUAGGGGGUUUCCGCCCCUUAGUGCUGCAGCUAACGCAUUAAGCACUCCGCCUGGGGAGUACGACCGCAAGGUUGAAACUCAAAGGAAUUGACGGGGACCCGCACAAGCGGUGGAGCAUGUGGCUUAAUUCGAAGCAACGCGAAGAACCUUACCAAAUCUUGACAUCCUUUGACAACUCUAGAGAUAGAGCCUUCCCCUUCGGGGGACAAAGUGACAGGUGGUGCAUGGUUGUCGUCAGCUCGUGUCGUGAGAUGUUGGGUUAAGUCCCGCAACGAGCGCAACCCUUAAGCUUAGUUGCCAUCAUUAAGUUGGGCACUCUAAGUUGACUGCCGGUGACAAACCGGAGGAAGGUGGGGAUGACGUCAAAUCAUCAUGCCCCUUAUGAUUUGGGCUACACACGUGCUACAAUGGACAAUACAGAGGGCAGCGAAACCGCGAGGUCAAGCAAAUCCCAUAAAGUUGUUCUCAGUUCGGAUUGUAGUCUGCAACUCGACUACAUGAAGCUGGAAUCGCUAGUAAUCGUAGAUCAGCAUGCUACGGUGAAUACGUUCCCGGGUCU